This 253-nucleotide ribosomal RNA is filed under the name uncultured bacterium. RNAcentral's name for it is "partial 16S ribosomal RNA". It matches the Rfam family "Bacterial small subunit ribosomal RNA", at positions 524 to 776 of the family's 1533-position model. The record is from RNAcentral.
UACGGAGGGUGCAAGCGUUAAUCGGAAUUACUGGGCGUAAAGCGCACGCAGGCGGUUUGUCAAGUCGGAUGUGAAAUCCCCGGGCUUAACCUGGGAACUGCAUUCGAUACUGGCAAGCUUGAGUCUUGUAGAGGGGGGGAGAAUUCCAGGUGUAGCGGUGCAAUGCGUAGAGAUCUGGAGGAAUACCGGUGGCGAAGGCGGCCCCCUGGACGAAGACUGACGCUCAGGUGCGAAAGCGUGGGGAGCAAACAGG